This 832-nucleotide ribosomal RNA is filed under the name Levilactobacillus brevis. Its description in RNAcentral is "bacterial SSU rRNA". It matches the Rfam family "Bacterial small subunit ribosomal RNA", at positions 52 to 855 of the family's 1533-position model. Lineage: Bacteria; Bacillati; Bacillota; Bacilli; Lactobacillales; Lactobacillaceae. The record is from RNAcentral.
UGCAGUCGACGAGCUUCCGUUGAUGACGUGCUUGCACUGAUUUCAACAAUGAAGCGAGUGGCGAACUGGUGAGUAACACGUGGGGAAUCUGCCCAGAAGCAGGGGAUAACACUUGGAAACAGGUGCUAAUACCGUAUAACAACAAAAUCCGCAUGGAUUUUGUUUGAAAGGUGGCUUCGGCUAUCACUUCUGGAUGAUCCCGCGGCGUAUUAGUUAGUUGGUGAGGUAAAGGCCCACCAAGACGAUGAUACGUAGCCGACCUGAGAGGGUAAUCGGCCACAUUGGGACUGAGACACGGCCCAAACUCCUACGGGAGGCAGCAGUAGGGAAUCUUCCACAAUGGACGAAAGUCUGAUGGAGCAAUGCCGCGUGAGUGAAGAAGGGUUUCGGCUCGUAAAACUCUGUUGUUAAAGAAGAACACCUUUGAGAGUAACUGUUCAAGGGUUGACGGUAUUUAACCAGAAAGCCACGGCUAACUACGUGCCAGCAGCCGCGGUAAUACGUAGGUGGCAAGCGUUGUCCGGAUUUAUUGGGCGUAAAGCGAGCGCAGGCGGUUUUUUAAGUCUGAUGUGAAAGCCUUCGGCUUAACCGGAGAAGUGCAUCGGACACUGGGAGACUUGAGUGCAGAAGAGGACAGUGGAACUCCAUGUGUAGCGGUGGAAUGCGUAGAUAUAUGGAAGAACACCAGUGGCGAAAGCGGCUGUCUAGUCUGUAACUGACGCUGAGGCUCGAAAGCAUGGGUAGCGAACAGGAUUAGAUACCCUGGUAGUCCAUGCCGUAAACGAUGAGUGCUAAGUGUUGGAGGGUUUCCGCCCUUCAGUGCUGCAGCUAA